RNAcentral lists this ribosomal RNA (935 nucleotides) under uncultured Bacillota bacterium. Its description in RNAcentral is "bacterial SSU rRNA". It matches the Rfam family "Bacterial small subunit ribosomal RNA", at positions 1 to 917 of the family's 1533-position model. Lineage: Bacteria; Bacillati; Bacillota. The record is from RNAcentral.
UGGAUCCAGACUUUGAUUCUGGCUCAGGAUAAACGCUGGCGGCGCACAUAAGACAUGCAAGUCGAACGAAGAUCGUUACAAAAAGGAUUGAAGAUUUAUCGGAUUGAGAUUUUGUAACAAUGGUCUUAGUGGCGGACUGGUGAGUAACGCGUAAGGAACCUGCCUUUUAGAGGGGAAUAACAAUGAGAAAUCAUUGCUAAUACCGCAUAUGCCAUAGGUAUCACAUGAUACUAGUGGGAAAGGAGCAAUUCACUAAAAGAUGGCCUUGCGUCUGAUUAGAUAGUUGGUAAGGUAACGGCUUACCAAGUCGACGAUCAGUAGCCGGACUGAGAGGUUGAACGGCCACAUUGGGACUGAGAUACGGCCCAGACUCCUACGGGAGGCAGCAGUCGGGAAUAUUGCGCAAUGGAGGAAACUCUGACGCAGUGACGCCGCGUAUAGGAAGAAGUUUUUCGGAAUGUAAACUAUUGUCGUUAGGGAAGAGAAAGGACAGUACCUAAGGAGGAAGCUCCGGCUAACUACGUGCCAGCAGCCGCGGUAAUACGUAGGGAGCGAGCGUUAUCCGGAAUUAUUGGGUGUAAAGGGUGCGUAGACGGGAAAGCAAGUUAGUUGUGAAAUCCCUCGGCUUAACUGAGGAACUGCAACUAAAGCUAUUUUUCUUGAGUGCAGGAGAGGUAAGUGGAAUUCCUAGUGUAGCGGUGAAAUGCGUAGAUAUUAGGAGGAACACCAGUGGCGAAGGCGACUUACUGGACUGUAACUGACGUUGAGGCACGAAAGUGUGGGGAGCAAACAGGAUUAGAUACCCUGGUAGUCCACACCGUAAACGAUGGAUGCUAGGUGUAGGAGAUAUCAAGUCUUCUGUGCCGUCGCAAACGCAAUAAGUAUCCCACCUGGGGAGUACGGCCGCAAGGUUGCAACUCAAAUGAAUUGACGGA